This 6881-nucleotide long non-coding RNA is filed under the name Malus domestica (apple). RNAcentral's name for it is "long non-coding RNA (MDOM_LNC009699)". The record is from RNAcentral. Lineage: Eukaryota; Viridiplantae; Streptophyta; Magnoliopsida; Rosales; Rosaceae.
AGUUUGUCGAGAAAUUCAACAGUGAAGGGAACAUGACUUACAGCCUUUGCGUCAACCGAUUUUCGGAUAUGAGCUAUGACGAAUUCCUCAGGUAUUAUACUGGAUACAAGCAGCCCACUGAAUCAACCUCAUCCGCAGAUGCAUCAUUUACGUACGAAAACCUAAGCCCGACGGAUGUUCCCCCAAGCAUUGACUGGAGGGACAAUGGAGCUGUUACUCCAGUAAAAGAUCAAGGGCGCUGUGGUAAGAGCACCAACCACCAUAUUAAUAUGGGGCUAAGUACAUAUAUAUGUAUUGCAUUAAUUACUUUCUUCUUGCAUUCAUUCCUACGGAAAUUAAUUCAUAUCCGUUUGUUCAAAUACAUGCAGGUUGUUGCUGGGCAUUUUCUGCAGUGGCAGCAGUCGAAGGGAUUACCCAAAUCAAAACUGGCAAAUUGAUCUCACUAUCUGAGCAACAGCUUGUGAGCUGUGAUACAGAUAACAACAGGGGCUGCCAAGGUGGUUGGAUGGUUAAUGCCUUUGCAUACAUUCAACAAAACGGAGGAAUUGCCAGUGAAGAAAAUUACCCAUACCAGAGUUUAGAUGGCAGUGAAGGAACAUGUGAUAUGAACAAGGCAAAUGAGGCUGCUGCCCGGAUAACUAGUUAUGCAGAGGUACCUCCCAACAGUGAAACCGAUCUACUCAAGGCUGUGUCCAUGCAACCAGUCUCCGUUGCCAUCAAUAUGUCACCAGCCUUUCAGCAUUAUUCAGGCGGGGUGUUCACCGGUGAUGAUUGUGGGACAUCAUUGGACCACGCUGUUACCGUCAUUGGGUAUGGGACAACUGAUGAUGGCACCCCCUAUUGGUUAAUCAAGAAUUCAUGGUCCGAUACGUGGGGUGAGAAUGGCUACAUGAAGAUUCUUAGAAACGCUGAAGCCCCAGGUGGUGUUUGUAGCCUCGCUACGAAAGCUUCCUAUCCGACUAUUUAAUGUAUUAAUGAAAGGGUGGAGUGAGCUUCUCCACUUUGCCUAUAGGUUAUAAGUACUACAGACAAAAACCAUAGGCUGUGAAAAUGCCUGUAUUUUGUAUUUGCUAAAAGUAUGGUUUAUGAAAUUACACUAUUUUUGUUGUGCUAGGAUAACACCAAAACCAAUUGGAACCAACUCAAGCUAACCCACAUGAAAUUUAUCAAAUGAAAAUGCAAGAACAAAAUAUAAAAGACAUCAAGAUUUUAACGAGGUUCCUCAACAGUCAGUGUAACUGGAGUACGUCCUCGGAGCAGUAGGAGCUCACCCAAUAAUCCACUAUCAACCAAUUGGGAGUUUACAAAGUGUUGGCAAUCUCACAACCUAAAUAACCCAAUACACCCAAUAGCUCUCACACACCACAGAAACAAAUAGAGAAAGAAAUAUAAUGAAUAAUUUCUUCUCUAUACAUAUAGCUCAAAGCUAUUUCAACAACAACUACUUUGGUGGAUGAUUACUAACCAAAUGAAGCAUCAUCUUCUUCUUCUUUUUGGGCUCUCUGCAACUCUCUUUGCUCUCGGCAGCUCUCACUUCUCUCUUCAGAAAAAAAUGAGCCCCUUCUUCUUUUUUUUUUCUCUUCAUCCGAAGAAAACCAAUAAUUAUGGCUUUGAAAAAGCCACAAAACAAGGAAACAUAAUCAUGAUGCCUCCUCAUCAUGAUGUUCCCUCAUCAUUAUGUCCUUCAAUCUUUUGUUUUGUUUACUAGCCGAAAGUGAAUGCCAAGUUGGCCACUAAUUUGGCCAUUAUCCAACAAUCUCCACCUUGGCCAAAUUCCGAAAACACCAUUAUAAGCCAACCAACACAAAAACACUCCCAAACACUACCAAGAGAACAACUCAUGCUGAGCCAAAUGCUCCAAAACUCCUACUGCUCAUCGCCUUCUUUAUAUAGGCAAAAUGUGAGCCAAGUUCAAGCAAUGAACAAACUUGGCUACACCAACAACCUUAGUCAACAUAUCAGUGGGGUUGUCUUUAGUUGGAAUCUUCUGGAGAAUGAUUUCUCCUUCACCAACAACUUCACGAACAAAGUGAUAACGCAUAUCUAUGUGCUUGGUCCUUGCAUGGUGAACAUGAUACUUAGCCAAAUAAAUGGCACUCUGACUAUCACAAUGCACCUGCACCUGCUUCUGAUCCACCCCCAAAUCUCUAAUUAGCCUAUGUAUCCAAAUGGCCUCCUUUAUAGCUACAGCAACUGCCAUAUAUUCAGCCUCUGUAGUAGACAAGGCAACAGACGACUGCAAAAUGGACCUCCAACAAACUGGCCCUUUAGCCAUAGUAAACACAUAGCCUGUAGUAGACUUCCUUCCAUCCAGAUCACCUGCAUAAUCUGAAUCAACAUAACCAACUGCAAAAUGACCAAUACCAGCGUCAUCCCUCUCAAAACAUAAACCAACAUCUUGAGUACCAUAGAGAUACCUCAAUAUCCACUUAGCUGCUUGCCAAUACUCUUUACCAGGAUUAUGCAUAUAUCGACUCACCAUGCCAACUGCAUGAGCAAUAUCCGGUCUAGAGCAUACCAUUGCAUACAUCAAACUACCAACCAAAUUUGCAUAUGGUAUAUUUUUCAUUUGCAGCUUCUCCUUAUCAGCUUUAGGACAUUGUAGAGAACUCAAUUUAAAAUGAGGAGCAAAGGGGUACUAACCGGUUUGGUUGAAUCAUGAACUCCAAACUUCUGAAUCAACUUCUCAAGGUAUUGUCUUUGAUUCAAGCAUACCAAACCUUUCUCUUUGUCUCUAGUGAUCUCCAUGCCAAGGAUCUUCUUUGCUUCACCAAGAUCCUUCAUCUCGAACUCAUUCUUCAUUUGCUUCUUCAAUUUCUCAAUCUCUUCGACAUUCUUUGAGGCAAUCAACAGAUCAUCAACAUAUAUCAACAAAUAAAUGAAAGACCCAUCUUGAAAAUUCUUGAAGUACACACAAUGAUCAUAUUGACUUCUAGAAUAAUUUUGGCCUUUCAUAAAUUUAUCAAACCUUAAAUACCAUUGCCUUGGAGAUUGCUUCAAGCCAUAAAGUGAUUUCUUCAAUUUGCAAAACAAAUUCUCCGUCCCUUUCACUGUAUACCCAUCCGGUUGACACAUAUAGAUCUCUUCAUUCAAAUCACCAUGUAAGAAAGCCAUCUUCACAUUAAGUUGCAAAGCUCAAGAUCAUACUGUGCAACAAGCGCUAACAUAAUGCGAAUUGAGGAGUGCUUCACAACUGGAGAAAAGAUUUCAUUGUAGUCAAUACCAUCAUUUUGUGCAUACCCUUUAGCAACUAAUCUUGCAUUGAAUCUCACAUUGCUUUUCUCAUCAGCAUCUUCCUUCUUGGCAUACACCCAUUUGCAAGUGAUAGCUUUCUUGCCCUUAGGCAAUUUAGCUAACUCCCAAGUCUUGUUCUUCAAGAGAGAAUUCAUCUCAUCACCCAUGGCAUUGCACCACCUCUCAUUCUCCUCACUCUCAAUGGCUUCCUCGAAAUUGGAUGGAAUAUCAUCAAUGAUAAUAGGAAGACCAAAAGCAACAUAGUCACUAUACUGGGCUGGCUUGGUAAUUUGUCUAUUUCCUCUGUUCUUGGCAAUAGGCUCUUGAGGUGAAACUUGCUCUUCAACUUGAAUAGAAUCUUCAAGUUCAACUUCUUCAACAUCCUCAUGGUCUCCAACUUCUUCACUUGUAGUGGCUUCGACAUCAGCAUAAAUAAGAUUUGAAGUACUAGAGACAACUUUCUCAAGCUCCACCUGUUGGACAUCUUUCACAUUCUUCUCAGAGUCCUUGUACAUACUUUCUUCAUCAAAUGUCACAUCUCUACUAAUUACAAGUUUCUUCAUCUCUGGGCACCACAACCGGUAACCUUUGACACCACUACAAAAACCAAGAAAGAUAGCCUUUUUGGCUAUAGGAUCAAGUUUAUUUUCAGUUACAUGAAAAUAAGCAGGUGAACCAAAAAUACGAAUAUGAUCAUAAUCAGAAGAGGGUUUUCCAGUCCAUACCUCCAUUGGUGUCUUACCCUGAAUAGCAGCUGAGGGUAACCGAUUGAUGAUGUGACAUGAGUAACUGCCUCUGCCCAAAACGACUUGCUCAAACUCGACUGAGACAACAUGCAUCUAACCUUCUCAAGCAAGGUUCGAUUCAAUCUUUCUGCAACUCCAUUUGUUGUGGAGUUCCCCAGACACUAAAAUGUCUCACAAUCCCUUCCUCUUUGCAAACUUUAAAGAAAGAGUCAGAUGUGUAUUCACCACCAUUAUCCGAUCUCAAAUCUUAAUCUUUCUCCCAGUUUGGUUUUCAACCAUUUUCUUUCAACCCAAGAAAAUGCUUAACACCUCACUCUUGUGCUUCAUAGUGUAGACCCAAGACCUUCUUGAAUAAUCAUCAACAAAAGUCACGAACCAAUGUCUACCACUCAAAGAGGGAGUCUUUGUAGGACCCCAAACAUCUGAAUGCACAUAAUCAAGAAUGCCCUUCAUCUGAUGUACCGCAGUACCAAACUUCACUCUAGUUUGCUUUCCUAAGACACAAUGCUCGCAUAAAUCAAGCUUACAAGUCGUGGCACAUUUUAGAAAACCUUGUUUCACAAGCCCUUGUAGAGCUUUCUCACCGGCAUGGCCUAAUCUCAUAUGCCACAGUCUAGUAGUAUCAGAAUCAUAUGUGCCCAUAUUUUCUGAGACUACAGAUGUUUCACCUGUCACAGUGCUUCCUUGCAAUAAAUACAAAUAGCCACAUCGAGGAGCUUUCAUCACAACAAGUGCACCAUAAGUAACUUUCAAUGUCUGUCCAUCUGAAUGAAACCUGAAGCCCUUGGAUUCCAAAGUACCCAAAGAAAUAAGAUUUUUCUUCAAAUUCGGUACAUACCGAACACCUGUCAACUCUUUAACCAUGCCAUCAUGCGACUUCAAACGAACUAUACCAAUCCCUUUUGUUGUGCAAGGAUUGUCAUCUCCUAUGAACACAACGCCACCAUCAAACUCUUUCAAGCUUGAAAACCAAUCCUUGUGAGGAGUCAUAUGAUGAGUACAACCCGUAUCCAACACCCACUUAGUAGCACAAUCAAAUGAUGAGGAAGUGGUUAAAGCAAAAUUAGAAAAAAUUUGUUUCAACCUCAGCAACAUUCAAUCAACCAUCAGCAGCCUUGCAGCUGCUUUCUGUUCCAUUCCAAGUGAAAGCCAAAAUAGUCGAUUUGAUACUUAUGAGUGGUUGGAGUAUAUAGCAAGAGAUGCUGCAUUUUGCCGUUAUUGCUAUAUUUUCAAAUGAAAACGGGAGAUGUUGGCAGUGAUGUCUUCACUGAAAAGGAUUUUUAAUGUAACUUGUUUGUAUUGAUAAAUUAUGGACGAUAUUACUAAAUUGAAAUGGUUGUUUCCUUUUUUUUAAACUUUGCACUCUUUUAAAUUCGCCCCUCCCCCUACUAAUUCUUGGCUUCGCCACUGAAUACUACAGAUGGCACCAAGUUCAGGAUAUUCAAGAAUGAAUGGGGUGAGAGCUAGGGCAAAAAUGGCUACAUUUGAAUUCUUAGAGAUGCUGGCCCUCCUAAAGGUCUGUGUGGCCUUGCUACAACGGCUUCCUACCCAAUUAUAGAUUGAUCGUGUCGGCUUCAAAGGCUACAAUUAAGUGCGUAAAUCUAAUUUUCUUCUCAAUAUUGAGAAAGCUCCGUUGAUAAAAAAGGGCUUGUAUUUUGUAUCUGAUUAGCAUAACUGAAGACGGCAUCGAGUUGUUUUGAAAAGAAUAUAAUUAAGUGUGUGGAUCUAAUUUUCUUUUCAUUUAGGUGUGCAGAGUUUUAUCUCAAAAUACCUCGAUUCUCUAGACUUAAAAUUUUAGAUAGUUUUUCCACUUGAUGAAGUUGAAACUUGAUAUACAUUAGAGCAAUUUUUAUCAAUUAGCUGAGCAUAAAAUUAAUACAGAAGAUCUGCAACCUCAAGAGAAUUAGUUUUGAAAAGCACACUAAAUUACAUGAAGAACACUUUGAGUGCCAGUCGAGCAACUCUGAGUUGGAGGGCCACUGCAUUGACUUACCAUUGUUAGUACUUGGAUUUCAAAAACAUCAUCAUCAAAUACUGGAGUUUUACGUUUAAAUUUCAUGAACCUGACCCCAAUUCCGUAUGAACACGGUAUGAGGUUCACACACCUUUAAUGGAAACUAAAGGCCAGAGGGCAAAGACUUCAGCAAAUAGACCAAGGACUUGUAGUCAUCAGACCCUUGAGUCAUCAAUGGAUCCUUCGAACUUCUUUGUGCACAAACUCCACGGCGAAAACAAAACAAGCGUAGCAUUCGGGCUAGACUGAUUGAUGAAGUUUACCGUGAAUCAUCAACCUGUGGAAUGUGCCUGGAAAUUUGGCUCCCUUCCAAAUUCCCAUCCUAACAAUUUCAACAAAGUGCACAUGCAGGCAAUCCCGAACGCCUUCUAUAUAAACCGGUAAUAUCAUGCUUGCUUCUUCACAUCCAGCUUGCCAAUCGCUACUUGAAACAAAGCCAUUGUCGACACAGAGCGCCCUCUCAUCACCGCAAUGGCUUUUGAAAGAAACCUUUUGAUUGUUACUAUACUCAUCACCUUGGGGACCUUGGCAUCUGAAGCCACGUCCCGCACAUUGUACCAAGCUUCCAUUGCUGCAAAACAUGAGCAGUGGAUGAAAAAGCAUGGACGCGUUUACCAGGACAGUGCGGAGAAGGAAAGGCGUUUCCUGAUAUUCAAAAACAAUAUGGAGUUUGUCGAGAAAUUCAACAGUGAAGGGAACAUGACUUACAGCCUAUGCGUCAACCGAUUUUCGGAUAUGAGCUAUGACGAAUUCCUCAGGUAUUAUACUGGAUACCAGCAGCCCACUGAAUCAACCUCAUCCGCAGAUGCAUCAUUUACGUACGAAAACCUAAGCCCGACGGAUGUUCCCCCAAGCAUUGACUGGAGGGACAAUGGAGCUGUUACUCC